Molecule: small RNA, 127 nt
Filed under: Salmonella enterica
Lineage: Bacteria; Pseudomonadati; Pseudomonadota; Gammaproteobacteria; Enterobacterales; Enterobacteriaceae
Description: partial RtT sRNA
Rfam family: RtT RNA
About the family: This family represents a bacterial cis-regulatory element known as RtT RNA. The exact function of RtT is unknown although it is thought that it may be involved in changing the cellular response in relation to amino acid starvation.
Source: RNAcentral
CUCCGUACGGGGAAGGAUGAGAAGCUUCGACUAAGGUUCGAUUCGAGCGAAAGCGAGAGAACGUUGCCAACGGCAACGGCCCGAAGGGCGAAGCGCGCAGCGCUGAGUCAUCCUUCCCCCACCACCA